RNAcentral lists this ribosomal RNA (253 nucleotides) under uncultured bacterium. RNAcentral's name for it is "partial 16S ribosomal RNA". It matches the Rfam family "Bacterial small subunit ribosomal RNA", at positions 524 to 776 of the family's 1533-position model. The record is from RNAcentral.
GACAGAGGGUGCAAGCGUUGUUCGGAAUCAUUGGGCGUAAAGGGCGCGUAGGCGGUUUUGUAAGUCGGAUGUGAAAGCCCAGGGCUCAACCUUGGAAGUGCAUCCGAAACUGCAUAACUGGAGUCUCGGAGAGGGUGGUAGAAUUCCCAGUGUAGAGGUGAAAUUCGUAGAUAUUGGGAGGAAUACCAGUGGCGAAGGCGACCACCUGGACGAAGACUGACGCUGAGGCGCGAGAGCGUGGGGAGCAAACAGG